UUGAGAUUUGAGCCAAUAGGAAGGCAUGGGGGAGUGGAAAUCCCGCCUCCAUGUAAUAUUUCAUUCGGCAGAUGCCUGCUUUUUUUUUUUUUUCUUUUUCAACUGAGCUACAUAGCUGUUGCAAUGUUGGAGAACUAUAUAUUUCUUAUAUAUCAAACUGAAAUUUUGCAUUGACGCUUCCCAGUAUAUACUGCUGCAUAAUAUUUUUAUUUUGUGUAGCAAGAACGGAUUUUGUCUACUGCAGAGGAUUGACACCAAACAGAAGAGACACCAGCAGUGCUCCUGGAACCCCUCUUCCUUGACUCACUUGAUCAAGAUUUCCCUAAUCAGGGAAUGGCGAGCCACCUAAACAAUUGCAUGCAGAAUAAUUGAACAUCUCCCUCAGGAUACCCACCUAUGCGGCAGGACUGAUAUAACUUGUGGGUAGGAUUUGAAACAGAAAGAACCCUUUUGUAAGAAACACAGAAAACUGUAAAUCAAUUUAUUCCAUUUAUGUCAUUAAUUCAUUUACAUUUUAUUGCUACUCUGUAUUUUACUUUAAUCAAUAGUUCAUAAGUAAAGCCGGCUACUUAAGUGUACUUAUGUA
Molecule: long non-coding RNA, 586 nt
Organism: Ictalurus punctatus (channel catfish)
Lineage: Eukaryota; Metazoa; Chordata; Actinopteri; Siluriformes; Ictaluridae
Exons: 2
Source: RefSeq, a predicted model, not a curated record